AGAUUGAACGCUGGCGGCAGGCCUAACACAUGCAAGUCGAGCGGCAGCACGGGUACUUGUACCUGGUGGCGAGCGGCGGACGGGUGAGUAAUGCCUAGGAAUCUGCCUGGUAGUGGGGGAUAACGCUCGGAAACGGACGCUAAUACCGCAUACGUCCUACGGGAGAAAGCAGGGGACCUUCGGGCCUUGCGCUAUCAGAUGAGCCUAGGUCGGAUUAGCUAGUUGGUGAGGUAAUGGCUCACCAAGGCGACGAUCCGUAACUGGUCUGAGAGGAUGAUCAGUCACACUGGAACUGAGACACGGUCCAGACUCCUACGGGAGCAGCAGUGGGAAUAGUUGGACAAUGGGACGAAAGCCUAGAUCCAGCCAUGCCGCGUGUGUGAAGAAGGUCUUACGGAUUGAAAGCAUUUAAGUGGAGAGGCAGUUACCUAAUACGUAUCUGUUUGACGUUACGACAGAAUAAGCACCG
This 469-nucleotide ribosomal RNA is filed under the name uncultured soil bacterium. Its description in RNAcentral is "bacterial SSU rRNA". It matches the Rfam family "Bacterial small subunit ribosomal RNA", at positions 26 to 495 of the family's 1533-position model. The record is from RNAcentral.